AAAGUACUCCCUCCGUCCCAAAAUUCUUGUGUUAGAUUUGUCUAGAUACGGAUGUAUCAAGUCACAUUUUAGUAUUAGAUACAUCCGUAUCUAGACAAAUCUAAGACAAGAAAUUUGGGACAGAGGGAGUAGUUG
Triticum aestivum (bread wheat) is the source of this 135-nucleotide non-coding RNA. Lineage: Eukaryota; Viridiplantae; Streptophyta; Magnoliopsida; Poales; Poaceae. The record is from Rfam.